Molecule: ribosomal RNA, 366 nt
Filed under: uncultured bacterium
Lineage: Bacteria
Description: bacterial SSU rRNA
Rfam family: Bacterial small subunit ribosomal RNA
Source: RNAcentral
CACGUUGGAACCUGCCCCAAAGUGAGGAAUAAGCCACCGAAAAGGUGGUCUAAUACUUCAUAAUAUCCAUCUCGUAUGGAUUAAAGCUUUAUGCGCUUUGGGAGGGGCCUGCGUAACAUUAGCUAGUUGGUGAGGUAAAAGCUCACCAAGGCUUCGAUGUUUAACUGGUUUGAGAGGAUGACCAGUCACACUGGGACUGAGAUACGGCCCAGACUCCUACGGGAGGCAGCAGUAAGGAAUCUUCCACAAUGGGGCAACCCUGAUGGAGCAAUACCGCGUGCAGGAUGAAGCGUUUCGGCGUGUAAACUGCUUUUAUCACCGAAGAUUAUGACUGUAGGUGAAGAAUAAGGACCGGCUAACUACGUG